RNAcentral lists this ribosomal RNA (230 nucleotides) under uncultured bacterium. RNAcentral describes it as "partial 16S ribosomal RNA". It matches the Rfam family "Bacterial small subunit ribosomal RNA", at positions 568 to 791 of the family's 1533-position model. The record is from RNAcentral.
UGCGCAGGCGGUUAUGUAAGACAGAUGUGAAACUCCCCCGGGCUCCAACCGUGGGAACUGCAUUUUGUGACUGCAUGGCUAGAGUACGGUAGGAGGGGGAUGGAAUUCCGCGUGUAGCAGUGAAAUGCGUAGAUAUGCGGAGGAACACCGAUGGCGAAGGCAAUCCCCUGGACCUGUACUGACGCUCAUGCACGAAAGCGUGGGGAGCAAACAGGAUUAGAUACCCCUGU